UUCGGGGGCCGAGUAGAGUGGCGUCCGGGUGAGUAACACGUASGUAAUCUACCUCUGGGUGGGGAAUAACAGCCGGAAACGGCUGCUAAUACCGCAUAAUGCAGCGGCACCACAUGGUGACAGUUGUUAAAGCGGGGGAACGAGCAAUCGUCCUCGCGCCUGGAGAGGAGCCUGCGGCGGAUUAGCUAGUUGGCGGGGUAACGGCCCACCAAGGCGUCGAUCCGUAGCCGGCCUGAGAGGGCGGUCGGCCACACUGGCACUGACACACGGGCCAGACUCCUACGGGAGGCAGCAGUCGGGAAUUUUGGGCAAUGGGCGAAAGCCUGACCCAGCAACGCCGCGUGAAGGAUGAAGCUUCUCGGAGUGUAAACUUCAUAAGAAUGGGACGAAUAAGUGGGGGAUAACACCCCCCAUGAUGACGGUACCAUUUGUAAGCUCCGGCUAACUCCGUGCCAGCAGCCGCGGUAAUACGGGGGGAGCAAGCGUUGUUCGGAUUUACUGGGCGUAAAGGGCGCGUAGGCGGCGCAACAAGUCACUUGUGAAAUCUCCGGGCUUAACCCGGAGCGGCCAAGUGAUACUGUCGUGCUAGAGUGCGGAAAGGGGCUACUGGAAUUCUCGGUGUAGCGGUGAAAUGC
Molecule: ribosomal RNA, 635 nt
Filed under: uncultured bacterium
Lineage: Bacteria
Description: bacterial SSU rRNA
Rfam family: Bacterial small subunit ribosomal RNA
Source: RNAcentral